This 687-nucleotide ribosomal RNA is filed under the name uncultured bacterium. RNAcentral's name for it is "bacterial SSU rRNA". It matches the Rfam family "Bacterial small subunit ribosomal RNA", at positions 813 to 1500 of the family's 1533-position model. The record is from RNAcentral.
CGACUUGGAGGUUGUGCCCUUGAGGCGUGGCUUCCGGAGCUAACGCGUUAAGUCGACCGCCUGGGGAGUACGGCCGCAAGGUUAAAACUCAAAUGAAUUGACGGGGGCCCGCACAAGCGGUGGAGCAUGUGGUUUAAUUCGAUGCAACGCGAAGAACCUCACCUACUCUUGACAUCCACGGAAUUCGGCAGAGAUGCCUUAGUGCCUUCGGGAACCGUGAGACAGGUGCUGCAUGGCUGUCGUCAGCUCGUGUUGUGAAAUGUUGGGUUAAGUCCCGCAACGAGCGCAACCCUUAUCCUUUGUUGCCAGCGAUACGGUCGGGAACUCAAAGGAGACUGCCGGUGAUAAACCGGAGGAAGGUGGGGAUGACGUCAAGUCAUCAUGGCCCUUACGAGUAGGGCUACACACGUGCUACAAUGGCGCAUACAAAGAGAAGCGACCUCGCGAGAGCAAGCGGACCUCACAAAGUGCGUCGUAGUCCGGAUCGGAGUCUGCAACUCGACUCCGCGAAGUCGGAAUCGCUAGUAAUCGUGGAUCAGAAUGCCACGGUGAAUACGUUCCCGGGCCUUGUACACACCGCCCGUCACACCAUGGGAGUGGGUUGCAAAAGAAGUAGGUAGCUUAACCUUCGGGAGGGCGCUUACCACUUUGUGAUUCAUGACUGGGGUGAAGUCGUAACAAGGUAAC